UACGUAGGGUGCGAGCGUUAAUCGGAAUUACUGGGCGUAAAGUGUGCGCAGGCGGCCGAGCAAGUCGAGUGUGAAAGCCCCGAGCUUAACUUGGGAACUGCGCUCGAAACUACUUGGCUAGAGUGUGGCAGAGGGAGGUGGAAUUCCACGUGUAGCGGUGAAAUGCGUAGAGAUCAUGAGGAAGACCAGUGGCGAAGGCGGGUCUCUGGACAGUUCCUGACACUGAGACACGAAGGCCAGGGGAGCAAACGGG
This 253-nucleotide ribosomal RNA is filed under the name uncultured bacterium. Its description in RNAcentral is "partial 16S ribosomal RNA". It matches the Rfam family "Bacterial small subunit ribosomal RNA", at positions 524 to 776 of the family's 1533-position model. The record is from RNAcentral.